CUGGUAAAUCUAGACUUUUGUCAAUUUUAUUGAACCUUCAUAAAAAGCCACUUUUUUGUUUGAUUGAUUUUGUUUUAGUCCAUUUUAUGUUCCUUGUAAACAUAUAAUGUAUCUAAUGAACACAUAUUUUUCCUCUCAUAUGGGGACAUAAUAAAUAAUUCUGAAGAAAGUGUCAAAAGCUUCUGCUUCUAGUGUCAAAAAUUUUAAGAGUCUUUCAGAAUUGCUAAGAAAGCAAAAAUUGAAUAUGCCAUCCUUAACUGCCUACCUAGAAUGACUCAGAGUACUGCCUAUCAAAUCAUGCCUAGUUGGUGCUCUAUGUCUACAUGGACUCUGGAAUAAUCUUAUACAAUUAGAUCUUCUGAAGGAAUUUCCUUUAGUUUUGUAAAAUUCUGUUCUUUAGUGUCCCUUUCAUCUAAUACAGUCCAUUGCUCAAACAGACAUAAAUAGUUGCUUUCAUGGAGGAUGUAUUAGUUAAGGUUCUCCAGAGACACAGAACAAAUAGGACACACACACACACACACACACACACACACACGGAAUUGGCUUACACAAUUAUGGAGGCUGGAAAGUCAAAAAUCUGUGGAACCAAUGUCCUCAUUCAAAGAUAAUCAAGCAGGAGAAUUCUCUCUUACUUAGGGGACAGUUAUUUUAUUGUUCUAUUCAGGCCUUCAACUGACUGGAUGAGGCUCACCACACUGGGGAGAGUGAUCUGGUUUACUCAGUCUAGUAUUUAAAUGUUAGUCUCAUUCAGAAGCAUCCUCCUAGAAACACCAGAAUGUAAACCAAAUAUCUGUGGCCCAGCAAAUUUAAUACAUAAAAUUAACUAUCACAGGGUCAAAGAUAUAAGUGAAAAUAAAAUUCUGCUCUUAAUUAGCUUAUGUCUUUAAUGCAACAAAUUACAGACAUUUACCUCUGUAUUCUCCAUGUAUAGUAUUAUAUCAGCAAAAUACAUCUGGUUAAUUAUUGGUGGAUAAGCCAUAAUACAAUCUGAAGGGGUUGUACUCUAACACAGCAGAAUGGUUAAAAAGCUGGGAUUUGAAGGAAAAUCUAACCAAAAUUCAAUUGUGUUACUGUGACCUAAUGUGUAACCUCGCUGACUCAUCUGUAGACCCCUUCCAUUAUACCUAUCUUGCAAGGACGCUAGAAGUGUUUUAUAAGUGCUUGGUAUAAUGCUUCUCAUAUUGUGGGCUACUUGAAAAUAACAGGAAGAAUUUCUUUAGUAGUUUUACGCAUUCAUCUAAGCCUCUCAACAAGCCAUUCUCCAAAACACAGGCACAGUAGUUUUUCUAAGACACACAUCAGAUCAGACCACUCUGAUCCCAUCCAAUGACUUCCAUCAGAAUAAACUCAAACACCUUGGCCUGGGUUGUAAAAUGCAGUGUUAUCUGAUCUUGGACUAAUUCUCCAGACUUAUACGGCUUUACUCCUGUGCCCACUAUAUUCUAGCCAUCCUGGCCUUCUUCCUAUUUCUUGAAAAACUCAAGUUUUUCCACCAAGAGCCUUUGAAGUAGUUGUCUCAGCUUGGCAUAUUCUUCCCGUUUCUGGGUGGCUGCCUCUUUUUUGUCACUCAGAUCUCAUCUCUAAAUGCCAUCUCCUCAAAAGGACUUCUUUCAUCAUGAUUCAAAAACAGCAUGUAUCACUGCCAGAUGUUCUUCCCUAAUUUUUCAGUCCAGCUCACUACAGCGUUCUCCAGUCAUUAAAGCUGUGUUUGGCCCAGAGAAGGCAUUCAAUAAAUAUUUUUGAAUAAAGGAAUGAGCUAUUUCAGAUCACCUGAAACUCCACCUCACUGUCAUGCUUACCUCCUCCAGCUCCAUUAAUGUUCAUAUUUACAUGAUCACAAAGUUCUGUUGAUUCAAAUUGCUAAAUAAAAGUAAGUUUACUUUAAUUUUAAAAUCUCUAGUUCUUAAGAAUAACUUGUAGAACUAUUGAGUCCAAUUAUCUUAAGAGAAUGCAACUAAAUUGGCCUGUAUUAUAGUUUCAAAUUACUGGUUUAACUACCUCUAGCCGUUUGGUUGAAUUAUAAUGUUUUCUUUUCUAUAGUUUUUUUCUUUGUUCUGAUAAAUGGCUGCACACAUGUAUAUCUCUUAACUUAGACACUUAGCUUCAGACACUGUAAUCAAUCAAUUGCCAUAAACAGUUCCCUAAAAGUUUCUUUUUCUUGCUUCAGUGGGUAUUUAAGUUUCCUAAUGGAAAUUACCGGGUUAAAAAGCUAGCAAGUAUCUUAGUAAUUUCAGAAGGUUAUAUGAAUAACAAUUUCAUAUUUUAAAAUGUAGAAUAAAGAUAAAGACAAGAUAGUUAACCAAAAAGUUACUUUUUGUGGUGUAAAACUUGGAACUUAAAUUGGAAAUGGAGAAUAGCUUUUGAGCCAGCAUUCGUAUUUUUCUUGCCCCCAGGAGAAAAGAGCUCAGUCCUAUUUUAAAUUAAUUCUGUGAUACAAUUUCCCAUGAGGAUUUUUCAAGUUUGACUUUUUCUAAAACUUCUUCUUUGCUCUGGUGGUUAUAUUUUCCUAAUCAUGAUGAGAAAUAAAAAUAUAUUUCCACUAGGUCUUUAAUCCAUUAGCUCAGGUCUUUAACUGAGAGAGACUUUCCAUGUGAACCAAAAAUACUACGUCUGGUCACUGAGUGAUGAUAGAAUGCUAAGAAAAAUUCUUAUGAUAAUUACUUCUAAUCAAAGCAACCAGUACUGGAGGUAAAUUAGAAAAUUAUAAUCAUUGGUUUUAUGUCAAAGUUCUUAAUCUCUAGCAGGAUAAUCCUGUAUCCUGUAAUUUAAAAUUUAGGAGGUAGUGGUUAUCAGAAUAACUUUUCAACAUUUGAGUAUUUACAGAGUGUAGAGAUAAUAAACUUGUUUCUAAGCCAGAAUUACGUGAUACAACCAUUUAUUUUCUGUCUGCAAAUUGCAGCCAUAUAAUCCUUUCCAAACCCAAUAUACAUGGAUCCAUUUAACACCUUUUUUCCUCUCUAUAAAACACAUUGUUUUCCUCCAGUCUCCAUAAAAGAAUGUUUCGAAAAGCAUAAAGAAAAUUAAAAUCACCUAUAAUUCCACCACACAGAGAUGAAGGUGAUAUGUCUUGGUGUAUUUUAUGUCAUUGUCUUUCUAUGUUUAACUCAUAAUUUUGCUGCCUCUUAGCAGUUACUCUACCUUACCACCAAAGUGUGCAGGGGACACCUGUUUAACUCCCUGGAAUGUCCCUAGAAUGAUUCCACCAACAAUAUUAUUGAGCAAAGUAUAUUUUUAUUAUUUUAAAAAGGGAGAGAAAGUCAAGUUUUUACAUCACUGAGCCCAUGCCAUUUGACCAUAUACGUUUUAUUUUUAACAUUUAACAUUUCUUUUUUCCUAAGUUUAUCUGGGGAAAUGGAUCCAGAAGAUUUCAAAGGUCAGAGAUCUUAAUGAUACAACCUCAUACUGAUAAGAACAGCAAUCCUGGUUCUUCCCUUUAUAGAUUAGAAAUUCUUCACCAAUAUAGGUAUAUUCUGCAGAAGAUGAGUUAGUUGAGAUAUCAAUUUAUAUUGUAAAUUGUAUUGUAAAAUUGUAUUGUAAAAUUAUAUUGUAAAGUGUUGGGAAGCACUUAAACACUUGUUUUGUAUUUUGUAUCAGUGAAGUUUCCAGAACUUUUAACCAAUGAUUGUGCAUUGUGGAUUUAGAAGAGGGACAUAUACUACACAGAAUGUGGCAAAAUAAUUCCUUCAUAUAUAAUUUACUAAGCAGAAACUUUAUUCAAAUAUUCUGUAAGGCUAGUGUUUCAUGAAAAUAGCUUUGGGGAGCCCUGGCCUCAAAGAUUUUUCUCUUUAAAAUAUAUUCUAUAAAAUGUGUUACUUUAUCUUGAUGCAAUAGUUUUGCAUAUUAAUAGAUACAGGGGAGUAAUGAUAAUUGCAGCACUUACUGAUAACAGACAUAGUAAACAAUCUAAAUAACUAACAAUAAAGAAUCUGUAAAAGUAAUUAUAUGUCCAUGAAAUGCAAUACUAUGCUGUCAUUAAAAUUUAAGAUCUAAAAAAAGUAUCUUAUAACUUCAUGUGCAUGUUAAGAUCUCAUAAUUCAAACAUAAAACAUACAUUUAUUAAUAUUACAAAUAUUUUUGAGCAUAUAAUAUGUGUUAAGUGUUGUUUAAUUUACUGUUGAAGAAGACAAUUGGGACACUGCGAUAGUUAAUUUUAUGUGUCAAACGGACAGGGCCACGAGGUAUCCAGAUAUUUUGUUAAACACUAUUUUGGGGUGUGUCUGUAAGAGUGUUUCUGGAUGAGAAUUGGGUUUAAAUCAGCAGACUGAGUAAAGUAGAUUGCCCUCCCCAAUGUAAGUGGCCAAUAUCCAAACCUUUCAUGGUUUGAAGAAAACAAGAAAGUGGUCUCUGGCUAACCACUUGAGCUGAUACAGGGGCCUUCUCCUGCACUCAGACGGGGACUUUAACAUUAGCUCUCCAAGUUCUCAGUCCCUCAGAUAUGGACUAAAACUAUACCACCAGCUUUUCUGUGUUUUCAAGUUGCACAUGGCAGAUCAUGGGGCUUCUCAGGCUGUGUAACUACAUAAGCCUUAUUAUACGGGUGUGUGUGUGUGUGUGUGUGUGUACUAUAGGUUGUAUUAUCUGGAGAAUUCUGACCAAUUCAGGAACUUUGUAGUCAGAAACAAAGUGAAGAAUACAUACCAAGAUGAAGAUUCAGUGAAGAAUACAUACCAAGAUGUUUACAGUGGAUAACUAUGGAUGCAGGUGCAGGAACUUCAGGAUAUCUUGGGAACCUCGUGAAGAGGAAUUCACCGAAAUCUACAGAGUUAUUUAUUGAGGAUUACUUUCUUCUGUUAUAUUCAGACUCAUUUAUGGAAACUUCCCUGAUUUUAAGACUAAGCAAAGAGAUUGAAGGUUUUAGUAAAAGGAAAGACUAUAUCCUGUGUCCUCUUCAACUUCCGUUUUGCUGCAAAUGGGCUUCUAUUUAAGAGCAUAGAUGUCAUGAAUGUGUAAAUUAAUGGGUUCUAUGAAGGUUAAGAAUGAAGUCAUAAGUGAGUUACCCAAGCCCAAAACUAUUCUGGAACACAAUAUUCUUUUGUUUAUUUUUCCUGUGGAAAUAAAUAUAUUAUUGACCAUAUAUUCAUUGCAAUUAAUUUAAAAGACUGAUAUCAAAGUUUCUAGGAAUUAAAAUGUGUGGAAGAAUUUGGUGAUAACAAUAAAAAAUAGUUUCGAAUUUAACUCAAGAAAAUUUAUGUAAAGAAAGAUGCAACUUGCUGGGUAGAUAUACAUUUUAAUCUCACUGAGAGCAUAUUUAAAGUAGAAUCUUUUUUACAUGUUGAAUAGAAUAAACAUAUAUCACUAAUCAGAUAUAAUAAAAGAUCCAGAAGCAGAGGAUAAGAGAAUAUUUUAGAAGAAAAUAGUACAAAAGUUCCAAAUAUAAUAGUUUAAAAAUUAGUUCAGAAUUAGUUUGAGGUGGACUGUAUCCUUGCUAUCUUCCUUCAUUCAAAUGAAAUGAGCUUGUACAAACUACACAUGUCCCAGGCAGUAAUCACAGGAGCAGCAAGAGAAUGAAUGAUUGUGGUGAGGACAUGUUUUCUGUGUAUGUUUUUGUUUAUUUUUUAAGUUUAUUUGAGAUAAAGAGAGGGAGAGAAUGCGAGUAGUGGAGGGGCAGAGAGAGAGAAAGAGAGAGAGAAAAUCACAAGCGGGUUCCUCACCUUCAGGGCGGAGCCCAACAUGGGGCUCAAACCCACAAACAACCAAGAUCUUGACCUGAGCUGAAAUGAAGAGCCUGAUGGUCAAGCAGUUGAGCUACCCAGCAAACACCUCAGUAAUUUUAGUUAGCGUACCAUUUUAUACCUAUAAAAUCUUCAUACUAAUGUGUAUCAUUAAGGUUAACAUUGAUCUAUCAAAAUACUAGGUUUAAACAUUUAUCUUAUGAAAAUGCAUAUAACAUAUUAUCCCAGUUACUAUAAAUUGGCAGGAAAAUAAAUUAUCCAUUUUACAAUCAGAAAAUAAUAUCAUUAGAAUAAAUUAAAAUUUUAUUUCUUAAAUUGUGGCACAGAAAUAUUCAAAGCCAAGUUGGAGAAAUUUCACAAGAUACUGUCUCUCUUCCUGGAGGAUAUCUGUGGACAGAGCUACACAAAAGUUAAACAAUAAGACCUCACUUUAUGUUUGUCACACAACAUUGUAUGUGUUUUUUGUUUGUUUGUUUGUUUGUUUGUUUCUUUCUUUCUUUCUUUCUUUCUUUCCUUCACAGAUACUAUGCUAUAAAUAGUGGAUAGUUUACUACGAUCACCCCUAGAGACCUAACCUGAAGAAACUAAUAGAUGCUUUUACCCUUAUACAAAUACAGAAUUAAUUUGGAUUAUUUUCAAAAUAUAAGAAACUAAAUCCCAUUAUUAACUGUAACCUCUUUAGUUUUUAGAUAUUUCUCCGGUUAGUUACCCAGAAAGAAAACAAAUUUGACUACAGCUAGCAUAGAAAGCUGAAUAUUAUCAUUGUUUCUAUUAUGAUAUUUGUUUUUAUAUGAAAAUAAAAGUACUUCUUCAUCAUUUUUAAUU
Molecule: long non-coding RNA, 6497 nt
Organism: Prionailurus viverrinus (fishing cat)
Lineage: Eukaryota; Metazoa; Chordata; Mammalia; Carnivora; Felidae
Exons: 3
Source: RefSeq, a predicted model, not a curated record